GACGAACGUUGGCGGCGUGCUUAACACAUGCAAGUCGAACGGAAAGGCCCUGCUUUUGUGGGGUGCUCGAGUGGCGAACGGGUGAGUAACACGUGAGUAACCUGCCCUUGACUUUGGGAUAACUUCAGGAAACUGGGGCUAAUACCGGAUAGGAGCUCCUGCUGCAUGGUGGGGGUUGGAAAGUUUCGGCGGUUGGGGAUGGACUCGCGGCUUAUCAGCUUGUUGGUGGGGUAGUGGCUUACCAAGGCUUUGACGGGUAGCCGGCCUGAGAGGGUGACCGGCCACAUUGGGACUGAGAUACGGCCCAGACUCCUACGGGAGGCAGCAGUGGGGAAUAUUGCACAAUGGGCGGAAGCCUGAUGCAGCAACGCCGCGUGCGGGAUGACGGCCUUCGGGUUGUAAACCGCUUUCGCCUGUGACGAAGCGUGAGUGACGGUAAUGGGUAAAGAAGCACCGGCUAACUACGUGCCAGCAGCCGCGGUGAUACGUAGGGUGCGAGCGUUGUCCGGAUUUAUUGGGCGUAAAGGGCUCGUAGGUGGUUGAUCGCGUCGGAAGUGUAAUUUUGGGGCUUAACCCUGAGCGUGCUUUCGAUACGGGUUGACUUGAGGAAGGUAGGGGAGAAUGGAAUUCCUGGUGGAGCGGUGGAAUGCGCAGAUAUCAGGAGGAACACCAGUGGCGAAGGCGGUUCUCUGGGCCUUUCCUGACGCUGAGGAGCGAAAGCGUGGGGAGCGAACAGGCUUAGAUACCCUGGUAGUCCACGCUGUAAACGGUGGGUACUAGAUGUGGGGUCCAUUCCACGGGUUCCGUGCCGUAGCUAACGCUUUAAGUACCCCGCCUGGGGAGUACGGCCGCAAGGCUAAAACUCAAAGGAAUUGACGGGGCCCCGCACAAGCGGCGGAGCAUGCGGAUUAAUUCGAUGCAACGCGUAGAACCUUACCUGGGUUUGACAUGGAUCGGGAGUGCUCAGAGAUGGGUGUGCCUCUUUUGGGGUCGGUUCACAGGUGGUGCAUGCCUGUCGUCAGCUCGUGUCGUGAGAUGUUGGGUUAAGUCCCGCAACGAGCGCAACCCUUGUUCACUGUUGCCAGCACGUUAUGGUGGGGACUCAGUGGAGACCGCCGGGGUCAACUCGGAGGAAGGUGGGGAUGACGUCAAGUCCUCAUGCCCCUUAUGUCCAGGGCUUCACGCAUGCUACAAUGGCUGGUACAGAGAGUGGCGAGCCUGUGAGGGUGAGCGAAUCUCGGAAAGCCGGUCUCAGUUCGGAUUGGGGUCUGCAACUCGACCUCAUGAAGUCGGAGUCGCUAGUAAUCGCAGAUCAGCAACGCUGCGGUGAAUACGUUCCCGGGGC
RNAcentral lists this ribosomal RNA (1345 nucleotides) under uncultured bacterium. RNAcentral describes it as "bacterial SSU rRNA". It matches the Rfam family "Bacterial small subunit ribosomal RNA", at positions 28 to 1380 of the family's 1533-position model. The record is from RNAcentral.